UUGGAAAGACUCGAACUCACAACCUCUCGGUUGGAAGUGGGGGUUGCUUACCAUCAGAGCAACCCCUCUUGUCUAACGGAUCUCAACUCUAAAUUUUGGAAUAUUACCUGGGUAAAUCUAUUAGUUUCUGGUCGUGAUUUUAGUCUAUGUUGAAGCUCCAUGAGUCUACUUUGCACUGCUGCAAACCGUUCAUGAUUUCGGUAUCCCUUCAAAAAGUUAUUAUGUUUCUCGUGAUGGCACGCAAAUCUGAAACCAUCAGCGAAUUCGAAGUAAGAACCUGAUUUCGAAGAGAUUACUUGAACAAAUCUAUGAUCUAUGUGAUCGUGAUUUUCGGAUAUGUCGAAACUUCACGAGUUUACUAUGCAGUUCCGCAAACGGUUCGUGAUUUCAGUAUUCCUUCAAAAAGUUAUUGAUUUCUCGUGAUCACACGUGAAUCUAAAACCAUCAGCGAAUUCGAAGUAAGAACUUGAUUUCGAAGAGAUUACCUGAACAAAUCUACGAGCUACGUAAUUGUGAUAUUUGGAUAUAUCAAGGCUCUACGAGUCUACGUUCCAGAUCCACUAGCCGUUUAAGAUUCAGGUGCUCCUACAACAAGUUAUAAAUUUUCUCCUGCAAGUUCUCCAAGCCGCCAGGAAAGUUCUAUCACAAAGACAAUAAGGAAAGACUCGAAGAGUUGGUAUGAAUAUCAUGCAUCAGAAUGAGUCCUUAUAUAGACCACCGAAGGUAGUCUUUGAUUCGUUUCCAAUGUGGUUUCAUUGAGCUGUCACUCUUUGAGAAGAACUCAAAUUUCAGGAUUGAGGAGUUUAUGUUCUAAAAUUUCUGGACAAGAGAAAGUUAGCUUCAUAGUGGAAGACAAAUUGCAAAAAUUAGACUCCUGCAGAAGACAAACUGAAAAGAAAUACUAGGAGUCCAAUUGAAAAGAAUCAUCUGGACAAGAAAAGUUGCGUCCUAAAACAAGACAAAUUGAAAAGAAAAAUACUGCUCUCUCUUGUUCCUAAAAGAAAAGGGAGUUUUCC
This 1016-nucleotide long non-coding RNA is filed under the name Nicotiana benthamiana. RNAcentral describes it as "long non-coding RNA (NBEN_LNC019798)". Lineage: Eukaryota; Viridiplantae; Streptophyta; Magnoliopsida; Solanales; Solanaceae. The record is from RNAcentral.